Molecule: ribosomal RNA, 634 nt
Filed under: Agromyces sp. So1Pt_11
Lineage: Bacteria; Bacillati; Actinomycetota; Actinomycetes; Micrococcales; Microbacteriaceae
Description: bacterial SSU rRNA
Rfam family: Bacterial small subunit ribosomal RNA
Source: RNAcentral
GCCUGAUGCAGCAACGCCGCGUGCGGGAUGACGGCCUUCGGGUUGUAAACCGCUUUUAGUAAGGAAGAAGGGAAGCUUGCUUCUUGACGGUACUUGCAGAAAAAGGACCGGCUAACUACGUGCCAGCAGCCGCGGUAAUACGUAGGGUCCGAGCGUUGUCCGGAAUUAUUGGGCGUAAAGAGCUCGUAGGCGGUUUGUCGCGUCUGCUGUGAAAUCCCGAGGCUCAACCUCGGGUCUGCAGUGGGUACGGGCAGACUGGAGUGCGGUAGGGGAGAAUGGAAUUCCUGGUGUAGCGGUGGAAUGCGCAGAUAUCAGGAGGAACACCGAUGGCGAAGGCAGUUCUCUGGGCCGUAACUGACGCUGAGGAGCGAAAGCGUGGGGAGCGAACAGGAUUAGAUACCCUGGUAGUCCACGCCGUAAACGUUGGGCGCUAGAUGUGGGGACCUUUCCACGGUUUCCGUGUCGUAGCUAACGCAUUAAGCGCCCCGCCUGGGGAGUACGGCCGCAAGGCUAAAACUCAAAGGAAUUGACGGGGGCCCGCACAAGCGGCGGAGCAUGCGGAUUAAUUCGAUGCAACGCGAAGAACCUUACCAAGGCUUGACAUAACCGAGAACGCCGCAGAAAUGUGGAACUC